AGAUGCUCUAGCCCUCACUCUAGUUGCUGGGCAAUGGCUUAAUUUACUUAGGUGCUUGCUCCGGCCCUGUGGAGUGGGUUGCUCUUUGAGAGCUCAGUUUAGUUAGAAAACUACUGCUGCUCCAGACUUGACAAGGUGGAAUUGACUCCUCAGUUGAGUUCAGGAGCUCAUUCCCCCUUAGAAGCUUGGUUCAUCUCAGAAGUUUGCUCUAGUUUGGGAGUUCACUUCGGCUCUGAAACUUGCUCUACUUUAAGGAUCUGACUCCAGUCUGGAGAACUGGUAGCCUUUGCUUAAGGGUUGCUGUUAGAAGCGUUUCUACCCUUAACGAGGGGAAGCUGCUAUAGGAACGUUGUCACUCGUAUUAACAUGCUUCCUAUGCAAUCUGAAAUUGAAAUAAUUUAUUUUCUCUGUUUUUUAACACACUUCUGUUUUUUCCCUCCUCUCUUUCCUUCACUGCACCUGGAAGUCUAAGAUCCACAGCUCUCAUGCUAUGAUUACAGGGUGACACUGACACAGUCCUGUGACAUGAGGGUGCAGCUGCCACAGAAUCAUGCUUUUAUCUCACACAAGCUAUGCAAACGGGUGGCUCCCUGAGAGAUGGUCCCGUGUCUACAUCAGCAAUUCUCAACCUGGCAGUCACAGGCAGAGAGGAAAUGGGAGGGAGAAGAUAUGUUUGCAAUCCUGCCUCCUUUCACUCUCCAGUUUUCCAGUGAAGCAGAUUUGCUCUGUCACUCAGGACCAAAUGCCAGGAAUGCCCCAUAAACCAUUUGGUUAAUUUCAACAGUGCUUCCCUUGAAAACAUUAUAGAAAGUGGUGCAAAGGAUUUUGGGAUAGCAUCUGAGGAGGAGCUGUUGUGAAUGGCAGCAACUGGAGGUCUUGGGACACAAAGAUUAAGCACCCCUGUUUCAUGAUGAGGGGGUCUUCCCUUCAGAGGUAGUCACUGCUGCCCCUGCAAGGGCUACAGAACCACGGUUAAGUGACACAAGGAUUGCCUGGGUGCCAAUGCCUCUACAGCCUUUCCAGACUGAGGGUAUGUCUACACUACGAAAUUAGGUUGAAUUUAUAGAAGCUGGUUUUAUAGAUAUUGGUUUUAUACAGUCGAUUGUGUGUGUCCCCACAUAAAAUGCUCUAAGUGCAUUAAGUCGGCAGACCGUGUCCACAGUACUGAGGCUAGCGGCGACUUCCGGAGCAUUGCACUGUGGGUAGCUAUCCCACAGUUCCCACAGUCUCCGCCGCCCAUUGGAAUUCUG
RNAcentral lists this long non-coding RNA (1250 nucleotides) under Chrysemys picta bellii (western painted turtle). RNAcentral's name for it is "lncRNA (ENSCPBG00000020526.1)". The record is from RNAcentral. Lineage: Eukaryota; Metazoa; Chordata; Testudines; Emydidae.